AGGUGCCAAAGAAUUCCUAAGCGGCCAGGAGCCGACUGGCGUGACCUUCCGGAUGAAAAGGUUAAACUAUGUAAUGGUCAACUGGUUGAUUUGAUUCCGUGGUGCCUGCCUAACACUGCUAAGAGGCACAACCAGUGGAAGGGGCUCUUUGGGAGGUUGGAUUGGGAUGGGAACUUCCCCACUUCCUUUACUGACCCCCAGCCGAUGGGUAAGGUGGGGAUGUGUUUUCAUCCCGACCAAGACAGGAUUGUUACAGUUCGUGAAUGUGCGCGUUCUCAAGGUUUCCCAGAUAGCUAUCAAUUUGCUGGUAACAUUUUGCACAAGCACAGGCAAAUAGGAAAUGCUGUUCCACCUCCUUUGGCAUAUGCACUGGGAAGGAAACUUAAGGAAGCUGUUGAGAGCAAGAAGAGGUCCACUUAGAAGUUUGUAAAUUUUGUGGAACAAGAGAUGAGUGGUCAUACUGCACCUGAAUUUAAGCUUUCAAAUUUAAAUGUCAAACAGCAUGAUUCACAUGUCAAUUUUCUGUUGUACAAGAUAGCUUAUUGCAGAAUCAAUGUUACAUAAAAGCUCUCGUGCGUUUACAUAUUUUUUUUUUUUUAAACAGGUGAUAACCACCACACACAUAUACUUAAUCAAGGUGAUUUCAAACUUUUCUGUGGACUUAAUCCACAUCGGCCGAGCAUUUGUUCAUUUA
Molecule: non-coding RNA, 694 nt
Organism: Nicotiana tabacum (common tobacco)
Lineage: Eukaryota; Viridiplantae; Streptophyta; Magnoliopsida; Solanales; Solanaceae
Source: RefSeq, a predicted model, not a curated record